RNAcentral lists this ribosomal RNA (208 nucleotides) under uncultured Acidobacteriota bacterium. Its description in RNAcentral is "uncultured Acidobacteria bacterium partial 16S ribosomal RNA". It matches the Rfam family "Bacterial small subunit ribosomal RNA", at positions 568 to 775 of the family's 1533-position model. Lineage: Bacteria; Pseudomonadati; Acidobacteriota. The record is from RNAcentral.
CGCGUAGGCGGCUUAGCAAGUCAGAUGUGAAAGCCCCGGGCUUAACUCGGGAAUUGCAUCUGAAACUGCUUUGCUUGAGUCCUGGAGGGGAUAGUGGAAUUCCCAGUGUAGCGGUGAAAUGCGUAGAUAUUGGGAGGAACACCUGCGGCGAAGGCGGCUAUCUGGACAGUGACUGACGCUGAGGCGCGAAAGCUAGGGGAGCGAACGG